UGAAGCGGCAAUAGCUCAAAUUUGAAAGCUGGCCCCUUCGGGGUCCGCGUUGUAAUUUGUAGAGGAUGAUUCGGCGAGGGCUCCCGCCUAAGUUCCCUGGAACGGGACGUCAUAGAGGGUGAGAAUCCCGUAUGCGGUGGGCUGCCUUAGCCAUGUGAAUCUCCUUCGACGAGUCGAGUUGUUUGGGAAUGCAGCUCUAAAUGGGAGGUAAAUUUCUUCUAAAGCUAAAUACCGGCCAGAGACCGAUAGCGCACAAGUAGAGUGAUCGAAAGAUGAAAAGCACUUGGGAAAGAGAGUUAAAAAGUACGUGAAAUUGUUGAAAGGGAAGCGCUUGCAGCCAGACUUGUCCGCAGUUGCUCAGCCGGUCUCCUGACCGGUGUACUCUUCUGCGGCCAGGCCAGCAUCAGUUCGGGCGGUCGGAUAAAGGCCUUGGGAACGUAGCUCCUCUCGGGGAGUGUUAUAGCCCAGGGUGCAAUGCGGCCAGCCUGGACUGAGGAUCUCGCUUCGGCUAGGAUGCUGGCGUAAUGGCUGUAAGCGGCCCGUCUUGAAACACGGACCAAGGAGUCUAACAUCUAUGCGAGUGUUUGGGUGUCAAACCCAUACGCGUAAUGAAAGUGAACGGAGGUGGGAACCCUCACGGGUGCACCAUCGACCGAUCCUGAUGUCUUCGGAUGGAUUUGAGUAAGAGCAUAGCUGUUGGGACCCGAAAGAUGGUGAACUAUGCCUGAAUAGGGUGAAGCCAGAGGAAACUCUGGUGGAGGCUCGCAGCGGUUCUGACGUGCAAAUCGAUCGUCAAAUUUGGGUAUAGGGGCGAAAGACUAAUCGAACCAUUAAC
RNAcentral lists this ribosomal RNA (835 nucleotides) under Cophinforma atrovirens. RNAcentral describes it as "eukaryotic LSU rRNA". It matches the Rfam family "Eukaryotic large subunit ribosomal RNA", at positions 94 to 947 of the family's 3401-position model. Lineage: Eukaryota; Fungi; Ascomycota; Dothideomycetes; Botryosphaeriales; Botryosphaeriaceae. The record is from RNAcentral.